Schistosoma margrebowiei is the source of this 45-nucleotide non-coding RNA. NCBI's taxonomy places the organism in Eukaryota, Metazoa, Platyhelminthes, Trematoda, Strigeidida, Schistosomatidae. The record is from Rfam.
AUCUAGCCGACGAGUCCCAAAUAGGACGAAACGCGUGUCCUGGAU